This 776-nucleotide ribosomal RNA is filed under the name uncultured crenarchaeote TREC89-24. RNAcentral's name for it is "bacterial SSU rRNA". It matches the Rfam family "Archaeal small subunit ribosomal RNA", at positions 94 to 873 of the family's 1478-position model. The record is from RNAcentral. Lineage: Archaea; Thermoproteati; Thermoproteota.
UAACACGUAGUCAACAUGCCCAGGGGACGUGGAUAACCUCGGGAAACUGAGGAUAAACCGCGAUAGGUCAUCACUUCUGGAAUGGGUAAUGACUUAAAUCUAUAUGGCCCCUGGAUUGGACUGCGGCCGAUCAGGCUGUUGGUGAGGUAAUGGCCCACCAAACCUGUAACCGGUACGGGCUCUGAGAGGAGGAGCCCGGAUAUGGGCACUGAGACAAGGGCCCAGGCCCUAUGGGGCGCAGCAGGCGCGAAACCUCUGCAAUAGGCGAAAGCUUGACAGGGUUACUCUGAGUGAUUUCCGUUAAGGAGAUCUUUUGGCACCUCUAAAAAUGGUGCAGAAUAAGGGGUGGGCAAGUCUGGUGUCAGCCGCCGCGGUAAUACCAGCACCCCGAGUGGUCGGGACGUUUAUUGGGCCUAAAGCAUCCGUAGCCGGUUCUACAAGUCUUCCGUUAAAUCCACCUGCUUAACAGAUGGGCUGCGGAAGAUACUAUAGAGCUAGGAGGCGGGAGAGGCAAGCGGUACUCGAUGGGUAGGGGUAAAAUCCGUUGAUCCAUUGAAGACCACCAGUGGCGAAGGCGGCUUGCCAGAACGCGCUCGACGGUGAGGGAUGAAAGCUGGGGGAGCAAACCGGAUUAGAUACCCGGGUAGUCCCAGCUGUAAACGAUGCAGACUCGGUGAUGAGUUGGCUUAUUGCUAACUCAGUGCCGCAGGGAAGCCGUUAAGUUUGCCGCCUGGGGAGUACGGUCGCAAGACUGAAACUUAAAGGAAUUGGCGGGG